Molecule: ribosomal RNA, 249 nt
Filed under: uncultured bacterium
Lineage: Bacteria
Description: partial 16S ribosomal RNA
Rfam family: Bacterial small subunit ribosomal RNA
Source: RNAcentral
AGAGUUUGAUCCUGGCUCAGGAUGAACGCUAGCGGCAGGCUUAACACAUGCAAGUCGAGGGGCAGCGGGGUGUAGCAAUACACUGCCGGCGACCGGCGCACGGGUGCGUAACGCGUAUGCAACCUACCCAUAACAGGGGCAUAACACUGAGAAAUUGGUACUAAUUCCCCAUAACAUUCGAAGAGGCAUCUCUUUGGGUUGAAAACUCCGGUGGUUAUGGAUGGGCAUGCGUUGUAUUAGCUAGUUUGG